GCCGAGACUGUGUGUUAGUGGGAGGGGGGCGUCUGAUGGAUGGAGGGGACGUCCUUUGGGAUUUGAUUGGAAUGCAGUUGGGUCUCCAAGGAGGGGGACGCGGAGGCCCCGCGCGCAGGUGCCUAGAGGUGAAGCGCACAGAUGAGGACCCUGAAAACUGCCCGGGGCUGCAGUCCGCGCUCCACCCUGCGUGGAUGUGCACUCACCCACGCCAGGAUCCCGAAACUGGCAGAUUUGGGGGAGACACCCUGUUGGUCGCGUCGCUGUAAUAAAGUAUUGGGGGAAAGCAUGUCGCUGACAAAGGCCUCUUCAACUUUAAAAUGUGACCUGACCUGUAAGAAGAGGCGUGUCCUCUGAUCCAGUGGAAAGACUCUUUGAUUUCCUUGCCACCGGCCCUCUUCAGCACUACCUGGGCGCUCUGAACCCCUCCUUUCACACAAUGAAAGAAACUCCAGUCAUUACCCCUCUGCUUAUUAUGUUAUUGUAUGAUUUUGUAAAAUUUACUGGAAACAACGCACAAGAGUUUUCAUAGUUGCUGUAUUUUCUUAAAGACAAACUAAAAAGGCUGGAGAAAGA
Cercocebus atys (sooty mangabey) is the source of this 576-nucleotide long non-coding RNA. RefSeq lists it as uncharacterized. The transcript has 2 exons. NCBI's taxonomy places the organism in Eukaryota, Metazoa, Chordata, Mammalia, Primates, Cercopithecidae. The record is from RefSeq and is a predicted model, not a curated record.